Cephus cinctus (wheat stem sawfly) is the source of this 1287-nucleotide long non-coding RNA. RefSeq lists it as uncharacterized. The record is from RefSeq and is a predicted model, not a curated record. NCBI's taxonomy places the organism in Eukaryota, Metazoa, Arthropoda, Insecta, Hymenoptera, Cephidae. The transcript has 6 exons.
GCAUUACGUAACAUCUAAAGUGUCUAUAAGGCAAAAACGAAUAACUCAUUGCGCUGUAUUUAUUAGCGAAUAAAAGUUCGGUCUCUGUGGAAGUUUGUAAAAUACUGACGCCUGCAGUGAUUCAAAGAAAUUCUCAGGCAACUUCGAGUACAUUCUACGCAAACAGUUAACAUUAUAUGACAAUCAAAAAGCAGCACCGACAUUGAUAAGUAUCGUUGCAUCUAUCAGAAUAUAUUGAAAUGCAUUUUCUGUCGUAAUCAAGAAUUAUGCAACUGAACGUAAUUGACGUAGACUACGAACAACGUUAAUUAUUUACGUAAGAGCUUUUGAUUUGAAUUAACAGUUGAGAAGAUCAUUUUACAUCCUGAAUGAAUGUCAGAAUCUUUUCUGCAAUAGACCCGAGGAAGAAUAUUAGAUGCAAAUUGACACGUUCUUGUGAACGGGACGUCUACCUUUCAAGGACAGAAGCCGUGCAGAAUGCAGAUUUGCGAAAAAUGAGAUGAGCCGACGAGAAUUAUAGUAUUAAAUGUGAGUGUUCGUCAAGCGUAGCCAUUGUCAUCACUGGACGUUCUUGUGCUGAGAAACUACGCCACUGCGGUAAUGUUCCGUCGUCAUUGUAAUGCAGGCACCGACAGGAUUGGAACGGAUUAAUGACAGAAGCUUUAUAGCGUCGGGCGAGUAUCGUCGAGAUUCUUAUAACCUUAAAAUGGACGGAGAAAGCACAUCGAAUGGCGCGCCAAAUAUAGUGGGAGGAUAUUUUGAGAUUAUUAAAAGGAAUGAGAAAACGGUACCAGCGUGGGUGUCUUAACUGAACCAAACAACCUGAACAACGAGAUUGUACGACUUGGGUCAGGAAGCAUGAGGAAGCUCUUCAACGAGCACGUGGAAGCGUACCAACCAAAGGGAACGAAAGGAUCUUUAUGGAGGAAAGGAAAAAUCCCAGAGAGCAGUUGGCGCAGGAAGAGAAUCCUAAGAAUGCGAGGCUAAACCAACUCUCCCUGUUGUGGAAAACCGGUUCCGGUUCGACGAAAUGAAAAGUCCAGGAGGUAUCCUGGCCGUGGAACUUCGUCGGGAUUGAUUUUUUUCUAUAGUCUGGCAACGUCCUACGUAGUGUCCAUAGGUCGCAGCCAUCCGUUAUAAAAAUUUGCCAAUACAGCGAAAUGAGAGUUCAUAGACGUCGCGGCCAUUGGGUCUGGUUGCUGUCGGACGGCAUGAUGCUGGACUCGCGUACGAGUGAAUAAUAUGAACCCUAAGCUUCACGUCACCGGAAGCACGACCUCCGUCGCC